Schizosaccharomyces pombe (fission yeast) is the source of this 379-nucleotide non-coding RNA. Lineage: Eukaryota; Fungi; Ascomycota; Schizosaccharomycetes; Schizosaccharomycetales; Schizosaccharomycetaceae. The record is from the annotation of a GenBank genome assembly.
AUUGAAUACUUACCCUACACCCAAACCAAUAGCAAUACCACCAAGUGCUCUGACUUUCCGCUUUUCAUAGUAAACUUCGCUUUCCAGUUUGGUGAUACGCGACCUUUUCACAGGUACCAUAGCAUUGUAAUCCUCGUUUUCCUCAAAAUCCUCUCUACUUCUCUUCUUUGACUUUGGAGAGGAUCGAAUGGAAGAUUUCAAAGUAUCCCCAAUGCUCUUUUCCAAAUUCUCGAACUUCUUUUCCAACUUUCCGACAGGUUUUCUUACUUGGCUUGCAACACCAGUUACACCUUUGUUAACUUGAUUAGCGACACCAUUCAUGCCUUUGUUGACCUGGCUUGCAACACCAUUCACGCCCUUGUUAACUUGACUGGCAACA